UGAGUAAGACAGAUGGUCGCGGCUGCAGAACCGAAAGGCUGCAGGUGAGGAAAGUCCGGGCUUCACAGGGCAGGAUGCCAGAUAACGUCUGGUGGAGGCGACUCCAAGGAUAGUGCAACAGAAAUGUACCGCCCGGUUUACCGGGUAAGGGUGGAAGGGCAGUGUAAGAGACUACCGCCCGGCUGGUAACAGCCGGGGCACAUGUAAACCCCAUCCGAAGCAAGACCGAACAGAGAGCGCAAGGCGGCCCGUCUGCUCUCGGGUAGGUCGCUUGAGCCUGCUGGCGACAGCAGGACUAGAUAGAUGACCAUUCAACGACAUAACCCGGCUUACCGUUUUGCUCAAAUC
RNAcentral lists this RNase P RNA (348 nucleotides) under Clostridium sp. RNAcentral describes it as "RNase P RNA component class A". It matches the Rfam family "Bacterial RNase P class A". Rfam says of the family: Ribonuclease P (RNase P) is a ubiquitous endoribonuclease, found in archaea, bacteria and eukarya as well as chloroplasts and mitochondria. RNAcentral also lists the same sequence under 2 other names. Lineage: Bacteria; Bacillati; Bacillota; Clostridia; Eubacteriales; Clostridiaceae. The record is from RNAcentral.